Molecule: ribosomal RNA, 996 nt
Filed under: uncultured candidate division WS6 bacterium
Lineage: Bacteria
Description: bacterial SSU rRNA
Rfam family: Bacterial small subunit ribosomal RNA
Source: RNAcentral
CGACUCGCUCCGCCUCCCCCUAUAGGCGACGCAUGGCUGAGAUAAGUUGAUAUGGCCAGGAUGUAGUUGGCGGCGUGCCUAAGGUAUGCAAGUCGAACGAUUUAACUGCGUCGCAAGACAAGGUUAAAGUAGUGGCGAACGGCUGAGUAACGCGUGGGAAUCUACCUUUAAGUCAAGGAUAGUCCACCGAAAGGUGGGGUAAUACUGGAUAUGAUCUGCGGAUCAAAGUCGAAAGACGCUUAGAGAUGAGCCUGCGUCCUAUCAGGUUGUUGGCAGGGUAAAAGCCUACCAAGCCUUUGACGGGUAGCUGGUCUGAGAGGAUGACCAGCCAGAAUGGGACUGAGACACGGCCCAUACUCCUACGGGAGGCAGCAAUCAGGAAUUUUGCGCAAUGGACGAAAGUCUGACGCAGCAACGCCGCGUGAAGGAUGAAGGCUCUCGGGUCGUAAACUUCUUUUAUUGGGGAACAAGUUCUGAAGUGUACCCAACGAAUAAGGUACUGCAAACUACGUGCCAGAAGCAUCGGUGAUACGUAGGUACCAAACAUUAUCCGGAUUUAUUGGGCGUAAAGAGAUGCGUAGGCGUCUUGGUAAGUCUCUUGUUAAAUCUACCGGCUCAACCGGUAAACCGCGGGAGAAACUAUCAAGAUUGAGUUGGCUCGGGGGAGACGGAAUUCUCGGUGUAGCAGUGAAAUGCGUUGAUAUCGAGAAGAACACCAAUAGCGAAGGCAGUCUUCUAGGGUUUAACUGACACUAAGGCUCGAAAGCGUGGGGAGCAAAACGGAUUAGAUACCCGUGUAGUCCACGCUGUAAACUAUCUCUGCUAGAUGUCGGGAUUUGUCUUGUAUUGUCCUUCGGGAUGGUUCGAGGCGAUUUCGGUGUCGCAGCUAACGNCGUUAAGCAGAGUCGCCUGGGGAGUACGCACGCCAGGGUAACCUCAAAUGAUUGCCUAACCUCUAGAGUCUCCUACUAGUUCAAUCUUUUCUGUUUCUUUCAU